GGCACUUUUAGCGGGGGGAGAGGAGGUUAUCUGAAGGGAGGCUGGCUUGAAUGUGAGUCGUUGUGUUUGUGAAACCCAGAAUCCUUGUGGGGGCGGGGAGGGGAAGAGCACCGGUGCGAACCCCGGGGUGCCCCCUCGCCCGACUUGGACUUCUCCGACUAAAGAGGUGGGAGGAGUUCCCUGCAGCCUGCGGGGCCAAGAAGAAAGUGCUAAGCUGAGGAGCCGCAGUCGGAGGACCCCAGGGACCCGACAGGAAGUCUCCGUACGACCCCAACGGAUCCACAUGCCCGGAAGCCCAGGCGACACUAAGCCAGCGCUGGGGAACUGACGUACUCCUGCAGUCGCAGGGCGCUCCAUGCCUCUCUGUCCUCUUCUUUGUUGUGGGUAACGUUCUCUGCGGGAGACCUGAGGUUUUCCAAGGGGGACAUGCCAGCUACACUGGCCUUGGCGCCCUGAGCUAAGCACCAGGACUCACAGCCUAGCACGAAGGCAGGUAGCACCUUCACCCGCCGCGGACGAUAGGCGCUCUCCUGUACCUCCUUUAGCUCGCGAGGCCCGCCC
This is a long non-coding RNA of Homo sapiens (human), 561 nucleotides long. Ensembl annotates it as WT1 antisense RNA. Its record names the gene WT1-AS. The record is from Ensembl. Lineage: Eukaryota; Metazoa; Chordata; Mammalia; Primates; Hominidae.